GGGGCAUGUGAGGGCUGUCGCUGACUCAAAGUCGUGCACGCCCGAGUGUGUCCUCUCACAUAAUAAUCCAUCUCACCCUUUGUGCAUCGCCGCGUGAGCACCCUUUGGGAUCAUCUCGGAGGGGGCUCGCGUUUUCACACAAACCCCCCUUUUAAAAGUGUAGAAUGACCUCAUUUAUGCGCUAACACGCAAUCAAUACAACUUUCAACAACGGAUCUCUUGGCUCUCGCAUCGAUGAAGAACGCAGCGAAAUGCGAUACGUAAUGUGAAUUGCAGAAUUCAGUGAAUCAUCGAAUCUUUGAACGCACCUUGCGCCCCUUGGUAUUCCGAGGGGCACACCCGUUUGAGUGUCGUGAAAACCUCAACCUCCUUGGUUUCUUCUGGAGACCAAAGGCAGGCUUGGACUUUGGAGGCCCUUGCUGGAACCUCUCUCUUUUGAAGGCCAGCUCCUCUUAAACGAAUUAGCAGGGUCCUCUUUGCCGAUCCUCGACGUGUGAUAAGAUGUUUCCAUGUCUUGGUUUCUGGCUCUGUCACUUUUGGGACCCGCUUCUAACCGUCUUGACCUUGCAUCGAGACAAUGUUCGAGCAUGUCUCCCUUCUCGGGAAGCUCCCUCGACCCCACAAACCCUUGACCUCAAAUCGGGUGAGACUACCCGCUGAACUUAAGCAUAUCAAUAAGCGGGA
This 684-nucleotide ribosomal RNA is filed under the name uncultured fungus. Its description in RNAcentral is "eukaryotic LSU rRNA". The stretch from base 200 to 353 matches the Rfam family "5.8S ribosomal RNA". The record is from RNAcentral. Lineage: Eukaryota; Fungi.